AAAAGCGGAAAAACACAUUGAUUUUGUUCGAGGAAGUAGGCGGCAACCCCUCAGGAGUGUCUUUCCAAAUUGUCACAGCUGAAACAAUAUGUGGGAACGCAUAUGAAGGAAGCACAUUACAACUAUCAUGCUCUGGUGGGCGAAUCAUCAGGGAUAUUCAAUUUGCCAGCUUCGGCAACCCACAGGGCACUUGCGGCUCAUUCCAGAAGGGUGAUUUUGAAGCCACUGGCAGCGUUUCCAUGGUGGAAAAGGCAUGCGUCGGGAAAGUUA
Molecule: unclassified non-coding RNA, 270 nt
Filed under: Hevea brasiliensis (rubber tree)
Lineage: Eukaryota; Viridiplantae; Streptophyta; Magnoliopsida; Malpighiales; Euphorbiaceae
Source: RNAcentral